Molecule: long non-coding RNA, 373 nt
Filed under: Elaeis guineensis (African oil palm)
Lineage: Eukaryota; Viridiplantae; Streptophyta; Magnoliopsida; Arecales; Arecaceae
Description: long non-coding RNA (EGUI_LNC050868)
Source: RNAcentral
UGGCGUCUUUCCGAACUCCCCUGACCUUCGAGCUUCCAUAAUACCAUCCGGACUUCUCCGACAAUGAGCUCCUCCAUUCAUCUAUCGGGCUGCUCCAAAUGCUUUUUGAGCUUCUCUGAUAGCAGGACGUCUAUAAUAACCAGACUCUAUCCAAAUUUCUACGGUGGUCAACCACCUUCCAGAUUUCAUCCGAGCUCCUACAAGAACCGGACUCCAUCCGAACUUCUACAGUGGAUGGAUCACAGAUGAAAUUCUACGAUGGAUAGGCUCCACCAGAUCUCUACUCCGAACUUCUUUCAGACUUCGUCAAUGAUCGAGCUUCUCUAACAGUGGGACUUCUACAAUAAGAAGUCUCCAUCCGAGCUUUCACGGC